Molecule: ribosomal RNA, 504 nt
Filed under: Neoscytalidium dimidiatum
Lineage: Eukaryota; Fungi; Ascomycota; Dothideomycetes; Botryosphaeriales; Botryosphaeriaceae
Description: eukaryotic LSU rRNA
Rfam family: 5.8S ribosomal RNA (bases 173-326)
Source: RNAcentral
UGAUUCGGGCUCCGGCCCGAUCCUCCCACCCUUUGUGUACCCACCUCUGUUGCUUUGGCGGGCCGCGGUCCUCCGCGGCCGCCCUCCGUCCGGGGGGUGGCCAGCGCCCGCCAGAGGACCAUCGAACUCCGGUCAGUGAACGUUGCCGUCUGAAAAACAAUCAAUAAACUAAAACUUUCAACAACGGAUCUCUUGGUUCUGGCAUCGAUGAAGAACGCAGCGAAAUGCGAUAAGUAAUGUGAAUUGCAGAAUUCAGUGAAUCAUCGAAUCUUUGAACGCACAUUGCGCCCCUCGGUAUUCCGAGGGGCAUGCCUGUUCGAGCGUCAUUACAACCCUCAAGCUCUGCUUGGUGUUGGGCACCGCCCUUCCGCGGGCGCGCCUCAAAGACCUCGGCGGUGGCGUCUUGCCUCGAGCGUAGUAGAAAACACCUCGCUUUGGAGCGCACGGCGCCGCCCGCCGGACGAACCUUUUGAACUUUCUCAAGGUUGACCUCGGAUCAGGUAG